UAUGGGGGCACAGAAGGGUCAUUGGGGUACAGCAGGGUCCCAAACAUCCUCUCCUGCCCCCAGU
Molecule: microRNA precursor, 64 nt
Organism: Gallus gallus (chicken)
Lineage: Eukaryota; Metazoa; Chordata; Aves; Galliformes; Phasianidae
Source: Ensembl